ACACUUGUACACUUCAUUUUAGGCUAAAAAAAACUAUAAAUAAAGAGUCUAAAGCCACUAGAUUUGGAAAGAUAAUGGAUAAAUUUACCUGCCCAAAGUGGUGAUCUCUCCAAGCACAAGUACGGAACAAAACAUGGUGAGGACAAGUCCUAAAGGAGUCCAUAGAGCUAAGAAAACUGGUCCCUUCUUUUCAAUUACAUAUGCUUGUAAAUAGUAUCACUAGUAGAAAAAGGUCAAUUUGCGUCGCCCCAUUUGCGUCGCACAAACACGGAAACGAUGCAAAUAUACUAUUUGCGUCGCAUGCAACAAUGAAUCGACGCAUAAGACGAACUAUGUGCGUCGUAUCUAAAUAAUGUGCGAUGCAAAUCAUCUAUGUGCGUCGCAUGAAGCCCAUGGUGCGACGCACAUAACAAAGUAAUCUGCGUCGCAUGAAGCCCAUGGUGCGACGCAGAUUACCAACCCAACACAAAGCCCCGUGUUUCAAAUAUAUCCUCAAACCCUAAAAAAAGUUGCAGCGAACAUUACAACCCAGCGCCUCUUUUUCAAAAUCCUCUCUUUCUCUCUCACCUUCACACCCCCUCUCUCUCUCUCUCACCCUCACCCUCACCCUCACCCUCACCCUCCCCUCCCUCUCUUCAGCGAAAACACCCAUAAACAUUUUCUUGCUACCCAUUUCUCUUUUUUCUACAAGAAAAACACCCACGAAAACACAAAAACCCCAAAAAAAAUGGCAAACCCAGGUUGUGUUAUGGAGUAAUUUUGGUUCUUCUCACUUUCUUUGGUCAGCGAAGAAGACGAAUAGAACCAGCGAAAACUCAGUUCUUUUUAAUUUUGUAGAUCUAAUUUCGACUCACAUAACAAAGUAGUCUAAUACUUCUCUCUACUCGAAAAAACUUGAACAACGAAAAUUGAAGAAUCAGCGAAAACUCAGUUCAUGCAUCUGAAAACCACCAUGGAUGAUAACUUCUCUCUCCUCGAAAACUCUUUCAUUUUGUAGAUCUAAUUUCUGACGAAGAAGACGAAUAGAACCAACCACCAGUGCGGACUGUUGUCGAUGGAUUACACGAGAGAGAAAAAAUAUGCGGUAUCUGGGUAGUUUUCUCGCCGGCGGAAUUUUUUUGUUUCAAGUUUUGUUGCCGGCGUCCUCGAAGACGGUAGCGAACUCAAAAUGAAGAUGAAGCGUUUUGUUUUUUGUAAUUUCUGUAACUAUGUCAUUGAACUUUUGUUCCUUUUGUUGAUUUGCUUAUUUUUAUUUUCUGUGUUAGAUCUAGAAUAUGUGCGAACUUUCCGGCGGUUACUGGUUUUUUAUGGUUGUUUGAUGGUGAACUUUUCUUUUUGAAACACAGAAUUUGUGCGUAUUUUGUAUAAUUUGUACAA
Molecule: long non-coding RNA, 1377 nt
Organism: Beta vulgaris subsp. vulgaris (sugar beet)
Lineage: Eukaryota; Viridiplantae; Streptophyta; Magnoliopsida; Caryophyllales; Amaranthaceae
Exons: 2
Source: RefSeq, a predicted model, not a curated record